Molecule: ribosomal RNA, 253 nt
Filed under: uncultured bacterium
Lineage: Bacteria
Description: partial 16S ribosomal RNA
Rfam family: Bacterial small subunit ribosomal RNA
Source: RNAcentral
UACGAAGGUCCCAAGCGUUAUCCGGAUUUAUUGGGUUUAAAGGGUGCGUAGGCGGACUAUUAAGUCAGUGGUGAAAGCCCCAAGCUUAACUUGGGAACUGCCAUUGAUACUGAUGGUCUUGAGUACAUUUGAGGUGGGCGGAAUGUGUCAUGUAGCGGUGAAAUGCUUAGAUAUGACACAGAACACCGAUUGCGAAGGCAGCUCACUAAACUGUAACUGACGCUGAGGCACGAAAGCGUGGGGAGCGAACAGG